GGAUUAGAUACCCUGGUAGUCCACGCCGUAAACGAUGUCAACUAGAUGUAGGGGGUGUUGAUCCCCUCUGUGUCGCAGCUAACGCAUUAAGUUGACCGCCUGGGGAGUACGGUCGCAAGAUUAAAACUCAAAGAAAUUGACGGGGGCCCGCACAAGCGGUGGAGUAUGUGGUUUAAUUCGAUGCAACGCGAAGAACCUUACCUGGUCUUGACAUCCCGAGGAUCUCUUGGAAACAAGAGAGUGCUUACUUUUGUAAGAGCUUGGUGACAGGUGCUGCAUGGCUGUCGUCAGCUCGUGCUG
This 300-nucleotide ribosomal RNA is filed under the name uncultured bacterium. RNAcentral's name for it is "bacterial SSU rRNA". It matches the Rfam family "Bacterial small subunit ribosomal RNA", at positions 775 to 1067 of the family's 1533-position model. The record is from RNAcentral.